RNAcentral lists this ribosomal RNA (1489 nucleotides) under metagenome. RNAcentral describes it as "bacterial SSU rRNA". It matches the Rfam family "Bacterial small subunit ribosomal RNA". The record is from RNAcentral.
AGAGUUUGAUCAUGGCUCAGGAUGAACGCUGGCGGCGUGCUUAACACAUGCAAGUCGAACGGAGUUUACUUAACAGAUUCCUUCGGGAUGACGUUUUUUAAACUUAGUGGCGGACGGGUGAGUAACGCGUGGGUAACCUGCCUUACACAGGGGGAUAGCAGUUGGAAACGACUGGUAAUACCGCAUAUCUUACAUUAUUCGCAUGUUUGAUGUAAGAAAGAUUUUAUCGGUGUAAGAUGGACCCGCGUCUGAUUAGCUAGUUGGUGUGGUAACGGCAUACCAAGGCGACGAUCAGUAGCCGGCCUGAGAGGGUGAACGGCCACAUUGGGACUGAGAUACGGCCCAGACUCCUACGGGAGGCAGCAGUGGGGAAUAUUGCACAAUGGAGGCAACUCUGAUGCAGCGACGCCGCGUGAGUGAAGAAGUAUUUCGGUAUGUAAAGCUCUAUCAGUAGGGAAGAUAAUGACGGUACCUACAGAAGAAGCCCCGGCUAAGUACGUGCCAGCAGCCGCGGUAAUACGUAUGGGGCAAGCGUUAUCCGGAUUUACUGGGUGUAAAGGGAGUGUAGGCGGCAGUACAAGUCAGGAGUGAAAACUUGGGGCUCAACCCCAAGACUGCUUUUGAAACUGUACAGCUAGAGUGUAGGAAGGGCAAGCGGAAUUCCUGGUGUAGCGGUGAAAUGCGUAGAUAUCAGGAAGAACACCGGUGGCGAAGGCGGCUUGCUGGACUAUAACUGACGCUGAGACUCGAAAGCGUGGGGAGCGAACAGGAUUAGAUACCCUGGUAGUCCACGCUGUAAACGAUGAAUACUAGGUGUUGGGUCUCGAUAGAGAUUCGGUGCCGAAGCAAACGCAUUAAGUAUUCCACCUGGGGAGUACGUUCGCAAGAAUGAAACUCAAAGGAAUUGACGGGGACCCGCACAAGCGGUGGAGCAUGUGGUCUAAUUCGAAGCAACGCGAAGAACCUUACCAGGUCUUGACAUCCGACUAACGAGAUAGAGAUAUGUCAGGUGCCCUUCAGGGAAAGUCGAGACAGGUGGUGCAUGGUUGUCGUCAGCUCGUGUCGUGAGAUGUUGGGUUAAGUCCCGCAACGAGCGCAACCCCUGCCAUUAGUUGCUACGCAAGAGCACUCUAAUGGGACCGCUACCGACAAGGUGGAGGAAGGUGGGGACGACGUCAAAUCAUCAUGCCCCUUAUGACCUGGGCUACACACGUAAUACAAUGGUCAUUAACAGAGGGAAGCAAAGCCGCGAGGCAGAGCAAAUCCCCAAAAAUGAUCUCAGUUCGGAUCGCAGGCUGCAACCCGCCUGCGUGAAGUUGGAAUUGCUAGUAAUCGCAGAUCAGCAUGCUGCGGUGAAUACGUUCCCGGGUCUUGUACACACCGCCCGUCACACCAUGGGAGUUUGUAACACCCGAAGUCUGUUGCCUAACCGCAAGGAGGGCGCAGCCGAAGGUGGGAUAAGCGACUGGGGUGAAGUCGUAACAAGGUA